AUGGAGGGGCAUCACCUAUUCCGCGAGACCGCGACCAGGCACCGGGGGAGGCCGCCCCUACUCGCCCCUCCGCCUCGCAGGCGAUGGGGGAGGAGGCCGCUGCUAAAGUUGGUGACUGGUUGGGAGGUGAAAAAUGAGGGUGACAUUCUGAAGUUGCACAGGGCAUGGAAGGGGGUUUAA
RNAcentral lists this ribosomal RNA (180 nucleotides) under Triticum aestivum (bread wheat). Its description in RNAcentral is "partial small subunit ribosomal RNA". Lineage: Eukaryota; Viridiplantae; Streptophyta; Magnoliopsida; Poales; Poaceae. The record is from RNAcentral.